This 31-nucleotide transfer RNA is filed under the name Ampelozizyphus amazonicus. Its description in RNAcentral is "partial transfer RNA-Phe". Lineage: Eukaryota; Viridiplantae; Streptophyta; Magnoliopsida; Rosales; Rhamnaceae. The record is from RNAcentral.
CGGGAUAGCUCAGCUGUAGAGCAGAGACUGA